This 433-nucleotide long non-coding RNA is filed under the name Monodelphis domestica (gray short-tailed opossum). RNAcentral describes it as "lncRNA (ENSMODG00000040649.1)". The record is from RNAcentral. Lineage: Eukaryota; Metazoa; Chordata; Mammalia; Didelphimorphia; Didelphidae.
CACGCACAUACGCGCCCGAAGCCCGGUAGCGCUGUUGUUGACACGCGCGAGCGCGCUCUGUCAAGGGUCAGGGCACCUGAGCCCCUGUCUAAGAUCCACAAUGGAAAUAUCCAGCUGUGGAGACAACCUUGGAGCUCCUGGAUCCAUUGGCUAGAGCUGACUGGAAGUAAGAGAAGCAUUCUGUAUCUAUACCCUCUCAGGGAAGAUAACCAAGAAGAAGAGGAGACCCAGUCCUAGCCUGGCUUGCCAAAAUACAUGGACCUCAAUGAAAUCAUUUGGACAGUGCAGAGCUGAGGUAAAAUAUGAACUCCUACAUUGGCAGACCCUAAAGAUGCUUCAUCUUCUGAUGUUUACGUCUUAACCUCAUGGAAGUGUAGGACCACAGUGUAAAAGGGUACUGCCAUUUGUCUCUGUCAACAUGAGUUUGAGUUUC